RNAcentral lists this ribosomal RNA (253 nucleotides) under uncultured bacterium. Its description in RNAcentral is "partial 16S ribosomal RNA". It matches the Rfam family "Bacterial small subunit ribosomal RNA", at positions 524 to 776 of the family's 1533-position model. The record is from RNAcentral.
UACGGAGGGAGCUAGCGUUGUUCGGAUAUACUGGGCGUAAAGCGCACGUAGGCGGCGCCGUAAGUCAGGGGUGAAAUCCCGGAGCUCAACUCCGGAACUGCCCUUGAAACUGCAGUGCUAGAACCUUGGAGAGGCGAGUGGAAUUCCGAGUGUAGAGGUGAAAUUCGUAGAUAUUCGGAAGAACACCAGUGGCGAAGGCGACUCGCUGGACAAGUAUUGACGCUGAGGUGCGAAAGCGUGGGGAGCAAACAGG